This 506-nucleotide ribosomal RNA is filed under the name uncultured bacterium. Its description in RNAcentral is "partial 16S ribosomal RNA". It matches the Rfam family "Bacterial small subunit ribosomal RNA", at positions 29 to 523 of the family's 1533-position model. The record is from RNAcentral.
AGUGAACGCUGGCGGUAGGCCUAACACAUGCAAGUCGAACGGCAGCACAGGAGAGCUUGCUCUCUGGGUGGCGAGUGGCGGACGGGUGAGGAAUACGUCGGAAUCUACUCUGACGUGGGGGAUAACGUAGGGAAACUUACGCUAAUACCGCAUACGACCUACGGGUGAAAGCAGGGGACCUUCGGGCCUUGCGCGAUGGAGUGAGCCGAUGUCGGAUUAGCUAGUUGGCGGGGUAAAGGCCCACCAAGGCGACGAUCCAUAGCUGGUCUGAGAGGAUGAUCAGCCACACUGGAACUGAGACACGGUCCAGACUCCUACGGGAGGCAGCAGUGGGGAAUAUUGGACAAUGGGCGCAAGCCUGAUCCAGCCAUACCGCGUGGGUGAAGAAGGCCUUCGGGUUGUAAAGCCCUUUUGUUGGGAAAGAAAUCCAGCUGGCUAAUACCCGGUUGGGAUGACGGUACCCAAAGAAUAAGCACCGGCUAACUUCGUGCCAGCCGCCGCCGUAA